UGGGGAAUAUUGGGCAAUGGGGGAAACCCUGACCCAGCAACGCCGCGUGAAGGAAGAAGGCUUUCGGGUUGUAAACUUCUUUUACCAGGGACGAAGAAAGUGACGGUACCUGGAGAAAAAGCUCCGGCUAACUACGUGCCAGCAGCCGCGGUAAUACGUAGGGAGCGAGCGUUGUCCGGAUUUACUGGGUGUAAAGGGCGUGUAGGCGGAGCUGCAAGUCAGAAGUGAAAUCUCCGGGCUCAACCCGGAAACUGCUUUUGAAACUGUAGCCCUUGAGUAUCGGAGAGGCAGGCGGAAUUCCUAGUGUAGCGGUGAAAUGCGUAGAUAUUAGGAGGAACACCAGUGGCGAAGGCGGCCUGCUGGACGACAACUGACGCUGAGGCGCGAAAGCGUGGGGAGCAAACAGG
RNAcentral lists this ribosomal RNA (407 nucleotides) under uncultured bacterium. Its description in RNAcentral is "bacterial SSU rRNA". It matches the Rfam family "Bacterial small subunit ribosomal RNA", at positions 355 to 776 of the family's 1533-position model. The record is from RNAcentral.